RNAcentral lists this ribosomal RNA (32 nucleotides) under Synura petersenii. RNAcentral's name for it is "partial 26S ribosomal RNA". Lineage: Eukaryota; Synurophyceae; Synurales; Mallomonadaceae. The record is from RNAcentral.
CGGACCUCCAAUCAGUCAAGAUUACCCGCUGA